Molecule: ribosomal RNA, 495 nt
Filed under: uncultured bacterium
Lineage: Bacteria
Description: partial 16S ribosomal RNA
Rfam family: Bacterial small subunit ribosomal RNA
Source: RNAcentral
GACGAACGCUGGCGGCGUGCCUAAUACAUGCAAGUAGAACGCUGAAGGAGGAGCUUGCUUCUCUGGAUGAGUUGCGAACGGGUGAGUAACGCGUAGGUAACCUGCCUGGUAGCGGGGGAUAACUAUUGGAAACGAUAGCUAAUACCGCAUAAGAGUAGAUGUUGCAUGACAUUUGCUUAAAAGGUGCAAUUGCAUCACUACCAGAUGGACCUGCGUUGUAUUAGCUAGGUGGUGGGGUAACGGCUUACCAAGGCGACGAUACAUAGCCGACCUGAGAGGGGGAUCGGCCACACCGGGACUGAGACACGGCCCAGACUCCUACGGGAGGCAGCAGUAGGGAAUCUUCGGCAAUGGACGGAAGUCUGACCGAGCAACGCCGCGUGAGUGAAGAAGGUUUUCGGAUCGUAAAGCUCUGUUGUAAGAGAAGAACGAGUGUGAGAGUGGAAAGUUCACACUGUGACGGUAUCUUACCAGAAAGGGACGGCUAACUACGUG